UCCACAAUAGCUCAGUUGGUAGAGCAAUCGGCUGUUAACCGAUCGGUCGCAGGUUCGAGUCCUGCCUGUGGAGCCA
RNAcentral lists this transfer RNA (76 nucleotides) under Listeria monocytogenes. RNAcentral's name for it is "tRNA-Asn(gtt)". It matches the Rfam family "tRNA". Rfam says of the family: Transfer RNA (tRNA) molecules are approximately 80 nucleotides in length. The record is from RNAcentral. Lineage: Bacteria; Bacillati; Bacillota; Bacilli; Caryophanales; Listeriaceae.